CUUUGUUAAAGGGAAUCCUAGUAAAGUGGGCCGAAUCUGUGCUUCCCAGUGACGACGGGGACGAGGUUCUGUUUUCUAAACGCCGUGGCCAGCACUCUGUGUCAUUCAGGGGGUCCUGAGGAGGCGCUGUUGGUCCGCCCAGGGUCCAGCUCCGUGUUGAGCAGAGAGAGACACGUUGGACCAUCAACCUUCUUUCUCCCUCCAACGUGCCCGCCCGCUUCUCGUCCCGCUCUGCCCCCUGCACGGGUCCAAAUCUGCCGCCAGGCAUUUUCAUUUUUAAGGGUGGACUUUCUUGAGUGGGAGCCCUCAAGCAUUUUUAAACAGCUCUGAGCAGGACCCAGCUCUGCCAGCCUUUGAGGACACAAGGCUUCAUAAGACACAGAUGUGUGUGUUUCCAGUGAAGGAGGCAGGCAUGGAAAGAAAAACUGGUGAUAUCAAGUCAUAAAUGCUAAACAGCCCGUGAAGGGACCCAGAGGAAGUGCUAAUUACCUGUCUAGGAGCAGAAGAGAUGUUCCGGGAGACUCUGGCUGAACCCCGGGGCACACCCACUGGGGCACACCCAUCAUGUUCCUGGCAAGCGUCGCAGGCCGGAGUGCUUCGCUACCUGGCUCUUAGCUGCUGCUGGCACAGAACCAGGACAGGAUGGCUCAGUCCCUGCGAGGACUCCACGCUGCCCGGAACGGGCAAGACACCUCAAGCGGGUGCCCUGCUGUCACCGGCAGGAUCCGAGGCAAAGAUUUAGUCACUGAAACUUGGCAGCUCCAGGGCUGGGGCAGAGUAUUUUUCAGGCUGAUGUUCAGGGCGGAUCUCUCUACUUGCAGAUGAAAUCAGUGAGAUAAUGAAUGUGAAAACACUGUGAAAAGCCACCAAACUUCUGGUACCCCAUCCUGCUGCUGUUCCCUCUUCUGUUCCGGGGCCACCAUUCCCCCAAGCUUCUUUGAUUCCUCUCCUCCUUCUGUUGCCCUCGCCUCACAAUGUGGAACUUUGUUGACGCGAUUUCUGAGAGGUCGUUCACAUUCAUCCCCCUCGAUGUCAUUUCUGCUGUCCCUGCCCUGGUCCAGGCCCUGGAUUUCUUGCUUAUACUAGAGUGAUAAAGUUUAUCUGUUCUACUUCCUCUUUCUCCUUUUGAAUUAUCAGCCCCGCUGCUACCAGACCAUCUUGUCAACUCAGACCAUAUUCCUGAUUAUUUUACUCUCGUCCAAAACGUUCAAAGGCGGCCAGUGGCCUACAGAGUGAUAAACUCUGAGGUCCAGUGUUCAAACCUCCCGGCUGGCCCACUUCCCUACGUUUGUAGAGAUCGUCCAGCUUUUUGCUGUUCAUGCUUUCACCCGAGCCCUGCAAUCUGCCUGGAAUGCCAUCACUUUCAAAAACCUCCUGACAAGGUUUUUUUUUUUUUUUUUUUUUUUCCCUCCAUUAUUCAAGGUGCAAAGAGGGUGGUAGAUAAAUCAUGUACGGGAUAAGAAAGGUGGGAAUGAUUAUACUUUAGAUGCAUCGAAGAAUUUUUUUUUUUUUUUUACCGAUCUCAUUAAUGGAUUCAUUUUGUGCAGGACACUGUGCUGUGGAUGGGGGUGGAAAGGUUCACCGUGUAUGCACUUGGGCAAAGGCAUCUAGAGCUAUGAGGACUAAGGAUACAUUUUCUCUUUUGCUUCCUCAGACAAAGCCACUCGUGCAAACUCCAGCACUCGUGCAAAAAUAUCUGUGGGGUGGCGGUAUCCCUUUUUGCUCUGGCUACUAGGAAGCCCAAAGGCAAAUUUCACUCCCAAUCACAGUAUUCAUUGGCUUAUUCAAAAAUUCACACAUAACAGGUGCCAAGUAGGUAUUCAGAGCUAUGUUAGAUCCAACUACAGGGAGCAAGGCAAUACACAUAACUUCUGCCCCCAGGAGGCCACUGUUCAUUCUUACAGUUAGCACAUCUUCAUCUCUGUUUCCUCUCGUCCUGAUUUGGGAGUUUGUUGAGUCUCUCUUUAGUUUUAUGUGAGCUGAAAUUAUUUUCGGAAGAGGACAAGUACAGUCAGUAUAUAAAAGUAAAACUGUUCCAACGCU
Molecule: long non-coding RNA, 2043 nt
Organism: Leopardus geoffroyi (Geoffroy's cat)
Lineage: Eukaryota; Metazoa; Chordata; Mammalia; Carnivora; Felidae
Exons: 4
Source: RefSeq, a predicted model, not a curated record